GAUGAACGCUGGCGGCGUGCCUAAUACAUGCAAGUCGAGCGAACGGACGAGAAGCUUGCUUCUCUGAUGUUAGCGGCGGACGGGUGAGUAACACGUGGAUAACCUACCUAUAAGACUGGGAUAACUUCGGGAAACCGGAGCUAAUACCGGAUAAUAUUUUGAACCGCAUGGUUCAAAAGUAAAAGACGGUCUUGCUGUCACUUAUAGAUGGAUCCGCGCUGCAUUAGCUAGUUGGUAAGGUAACGGCUUACCAAGGCAACGAUGCAUAGCCGACCUGAGAGGGUGAUCGGCCACACUGGAACUGAGACACGGUCCAGACUCCUACGGGAGGCAGCAGUAGGGAAUCUUCCGCAAUGGGCGAAAGCCUGACGGAGCAACGCCGCGUGAGUGAUGAAGGUCUUCGGAUCGUAAAGCUCUGUUAUUAGGGAAGAACAUAUGUGUAAGUAACUGUGCACAUCUUGACGGUACCUAAUCAGAAAGCCACGGCUAACUACGUG
RNAcentral lists this ribosomal RNA (497 nucleotides) under uncultured bacterium. RNAcentral describes it as "partial 16S ribosomal RNA". It matches the Rfam family "Bacterial small subunit ribosomal RNA", at positions 28 to 507 of the family's 1533-position model. The record is from RNAcentral.